AGAUCAUCACUGGGUAUAAAGAGUGCGCAGGCGGUUUUGUAAGACAGAGGUGAAAUCCCCGGGCUCAACCUGGGAACUGCCUUUGUGACUGCAAGGCUGGAGUGCGGCAGAGGGGGAUGGAAUUCCGCGUGUAGCAGUGAAAUGCGUAGAUAUGCGGAGGAACACCGAUGGCGAAGGCAAUCCCCUGGGCCUGCACUGACGCUCAUGCACGAAAGCGUGGGGAGCAAACA
This 230-nucleotide ribosomal RNA is filed under the name uncultured Alicycliphilus sp. RNAcentral's name for it is "partial 16S ribosomal RNA". It matches the Rfam family "Bacterial small subunit ribosomal RNA", at positions 550 to 774 of the family's 1533-position model. Lineage: Bacteria; Pseudomonadati; Pseudomonadota; Betaproteobacteria; Burkholderiales; Comamonadaceae. The record is from RNAcentral.